GAUGAACGCUGGCGGCGUGCCUAAUACAUGCAAGUCGAGCGAACAGACGAGGAGCUUGCUCCUCUGACGUUAUCGGCGGACGGGUGAGUAACACGUGGAUAACCUACCUAUAAGACUGGGAUAACUUCGGGAAACCGGAGCUAAUACCGGAUAAUAUAUUGAACCGCAUGGUUCAAUAGUGAAAGACGGUUUUGCUGUCACUUAUAGAUGGAUCCGCGCCGCAUUAGCUAGUUGGUAAGGUAACGGCUUACCAAGGCAACGAUGCGUAGCCGACCUGAGAGGGAGAUCGGCCACACGGGAAGUGAGACACGGUCCAGACUCCUACGGGAGGAAGCAGUAGGGAAUCUUCCGCAAUGGACGAAAGCUUGACGGAGCAACGCCGCGUGAGUGAUGAAGGUCUUCGGAUCGUAGAACUCUGUUAUUAGGGAAGAACAAAUGUGUAAGUAACUAGGCACGUCUUGACGGUACCUGAUCAGAAAGCCACGGCUAACUACGUG
Molecule: ribosomal RNA, 497 nt
Filed under: uncultured bacterium
Lineage: Bacteria
Description: partial 16S ribosomal RNA
Rfam family: Bacterial small subunit ribosomal RNA
Source: RNAcentral